This is a ribosomal RNA of Sinocyclocheilus anshuiensis, 119 nucleotides long. Lineage: Eukaryota; Metazoa; Chordata; Actinopteri; Cypriniformes; Cyprinidae. The record is from Ensembl.
GCUUACGGCAAUACCACCCUGUCUGUGCCUGAUCUCGUCUGAUCUCAGAAGCUAAGCAGGGUCGGGCCUGGUUAGUACUUGGAUGGGAGUCAAGCUGGGAAUACCAGGUGCUGUAAGCU